This 468-nucleotide ribosomal RNA is filed under the name uncultured bacterium. RNAcentral's name for it is "partial 16S ribosomal RNA". It matches the Rfam family "Bacterial small subunit ribosomal RNA", at positions 28 to 507 of the family's 1533-position model. The record is from RNAcentral.
GACGAACGCUGGCGGCGUGCUUAACACAUGCAAGUCGAACGGAAAGGCCGUGCUUUUGUGGGGUGCUCGAGUGGCGAACGGGUGAGUAAUACGUGAGAACCUUUCCCUUGACUUUGGGAUAACUGCAGGAAACUGGGGUUAUUACCCGAACGGAGUUCCUGCUGCAUGGUGGGGGUUGGAAGGUUUCUGCGGUUGGGGUUGGACUUGCGGCUUAUCAGCUUGUUGGUGGAGUAGUGGCUCACCAAGGCUUUGACGGAUAGCCGGCAUGAGAGGGUGAACAGCGCCAUUGGGACUGAGAUACGGCGCAGACUCGUACGGGAGGCAGCAGGGGGGAGUAUUGCACAGUAAGCCGGAGCGUGAUACAGCAACGCCGCGGUCGGAAAGACGGCCUUCGGGUUAUGAACCGCUUGCGCCUGUGACGGAGCGGGAAUGACGGUAACGGGUAAAGAAGCACCGGCUAACUACGUG